AACGAACGCUGGCGGCAUGCCUAACACAUGCAAGUCGAACGAGACCUUCGGGUCUAGUGGCGCACGGGUGCGUAACGCGUGGGAAUCUGCCCUUGGGUUCGGAAUAACUCGCCGAAAGGCGUGCUAAUACCGGAUGAUGUCGUAAGACCAAAGAUUUAUCGCCCAGGGAUGAGCCCGCGUAAGAUUAGUUAGUUGGUGGGUAACUGGCCUACCAAGACGAUGAUACGUAGCCGACCUGAGAGGGUGAUCGGCCACAUUGGGACUGAGACACGGCCCAA
RNAcentral lists this ribosomal RNA (278 nucleotides) under uncultured bacterium. Its description in RNAcentral is "partial 16S ribosomal RNA". It matches the Rfam family "Bacterial small subunit ribosomal RNA", at positions 29 to 334 of the family's 1533-position model. The record is from RNAcentral.